RNAcentral lists this ribosomal RNA (437 nucleotides) under Schizochytrium sp. Its description in RNAcentral is "SSU rRNA". It matches the Rfam family "Eukaryotic small subunit ribosomal RNA", at positions 994 to 1449 of the family's 1831-position model. The record is from RNAcentral. Lineage: Eukaryota; Bigyra; Thraustochytrida; Thraustochytriidae.
GGGAUCGAAGAUGAUUAGAUACCAUCGUAGUCUUAACUGUAAACGAUGCCGACUCGCGAUCGUUUCCCGGCUCUUGAAGCGGGAGGCGGCAGCGCAUGAGAAAUCAAAGUUUUUGGGCUCCGGGGGGAGUAUGGUCGCAAGGCUGAAACUUAAAGCAAUUGACGGAAGGGCACCACCAGGAGUGGAGCCUGCGGCUUAAUUUGACUCAACACGGGGAAACUUACCAGGUCCAGACAUAGGAAGGAUGACAGAUUGAGAGCUCUUUCUUGAUUCUAUGGGUGGUGGUGCAUGGCCGUUCUUAGUUGGUGGAGUGAUUUGUCUGGUUGAUUCCGUUAACGAACGAGACCACAGCCUACUAAAUAGUGCGCGUUGUGGCGACACAGCGGUUUGGGUACUUCUUAGAGGGACACUUUGGGUUUACCGGAAGGAAGUUCGAG